This 490-nucleotide ribosomal RNA is filed under the name uncultured bacterium. Its description in RNAcentral is "partial 16S ribosomal RNA". It matches the Rfam family "Bacterial small subunit ribosomal RNA", at positions 30 to 507 of the family's 1533-position model. The record is from RNAcentral.
AUUGAACGCUGGCGGUAGGCCUAACACAUGCAAGUCGAACGGUAACAAGAAACAGCUUGCUGUUUCGCUGAGGAGUGGCGGGCGGGGGAGUAAUGUCUGGGAAACUUCCUGUUGGGGGGGGGUAACUACUGGGAAAGGUACCUAAUACCCCAUAACGUCGCAAGGGUAAAGAGGGGGGCCUUUGGGCCCCUUGCCAUCUGAAUUGCCCAGAUGGGAUUAGCUAGUAGGUGGGGUAACGGCUCACCUAGGCGACGAUCCCUAGCUGGUCUGAGAGGAUGACCAGCCACACUGGAACUGAGACACGGUCCAGACUCCUACGGGAGGCAGCAGUGGGGAAUAUUGCACAAUGGGCGCAAGCCUGAUGCAGCCAUGCCGCGUGUAUGAAGAAGGCCUUCGGGUUGUAAAGUACUUUCGGCGGGGAGGAAGAGAGUAAGGUUAAUACCUCGCCGUAUUGACGGUACCCACAGAAGAAGCACCGGCUAACUCCGUG